GAAAUGCGAUACGUAGUGUGAAUUGCAGAAUUCAGUGAACCAUCGAAUCUUUGAACGCACCUUGCGGCCGCCGGCAAUCCGGCGGCCAUGCCCGUCCGAGCGUCGUUUCGACCCUCGGGGCCCCCCCUCAUGCAGGGGCGCGGCCCCGGCCUUGGGCCAGCGCGUGCCGCCCCAGGGCGCCGCGCGGCCCGCAGACCAGCGGCGGCAGCGCCAGCGACGUCCCCUGCGCAGUAGCAAACGCUCGCAUCGGACUCCCGGCGCCGCCCGCCUCGAACCCCCCAAACAAACAGGUCGACCUCGGAUCGGGUAGGGAUACCCGCUAAACUUAA
Molecule: unclassified non-coding RNA, 329 nt
Filed under: uncultured Sordariomycetes
Lineage: Eukaryota; Fungi; Ascomycota; Sordariomycetes
Description: sequence contains ITS1
Rfam family: 5.8S ribosomal RNA (bases 1-105)
Source: RNAcentral